Molecule: long non-coding RNA, 236 nt
Filed under: Trifolium pratense (red clover)
Lineage: Eukaryota; Viridiplantae; Streptophyta; Magnoliopsida; Fabales; Fabaceae
Description: long non-coding RNA (TPRA_LNC013496)
Source: RNAcentral
AUUCCAGCGCCUGCGCCACACUGGAUUACAACCUGGAGAGAGAAAAAUUUGCUUUUUAAAAGUAGGACACGUGUCACACAAUGGUUGGCUGGCGUGAUUUUUGUUCGUUUAAUACUUUGAACUCAAUUAUUUCGUUGUAAAUUAAUUUUUUAUUUUUUUAUUUUUAUACCAAAAUUCAUAAUUUUUUUUUGUCUACAAAUAGAGACUUGGUUCGUUUGAUUUGGACACCGAAAAAA